Molecule: ribosomal RNA, 400 nt
Filed under: uncultured bacterium
Lineage: Bacteria
Description: bacterial SSU rRNA
Rfam family: Bacterial small subunit ribosomal RNA
Source: RNAcentral
GGGGAAUAUUGGACAAUGGGCGCAAGCCUGAUCCAGCCAUGCCGCGUGAGUGAUGAAGGCCUUAGGGUUGUAAAGCUCUUUCAGUAGGGAAGAUAAUGACGGUACCUACAGAAGAAGCCCCGGCUAACUUCGUGCCAGCAGCCGCGGUAAUACGAAGGGGGCUAGCGUUGUUCGGAUUUACUGGGCGUAAAGCGCACGUAGGCGGAUCGUUAAGUCAGAGGUGAAAUCCCGGAGCUCAACUCCGGAACUGCCUUUGAUACUGGCGAUCUCGAGUCCGGAAGAGGUAAGUGGAACUCCUAGUGUAGAGGUGGAAUUCGUAGAUAUUAGGAAGAACACCAGUGGCGAAGGCGGCUUACUGGUCCGGAACUGACGCUGAGGUGCGAAAGCGUGGGGAGCAAAC